GUAGGUGGCAAGCGUUGUCCGGAAUUAUUGGGCGUAAAGCGCGCGCAGGCGGUCCUUUAAGUCUGAUGUGAAAGCCCACGGCUCAACCGUGGAGGGUCAUUGGAAACUGGGGGACUUGAGUACAGAAGAGGAAAGCGGAAUUCCAAGUGUAGCGGUGAAAUGCGUAGAGAUUUGGAGGAACACCAGUGGCGAAGGCGGCUUUCUGGUCUGUAACUGACGCUGAGGCGCGAAAGCGUGGGGAGCAAACAGGAUUAGAUACCCUGGUAGUCCACGCCGUAAACGAUGAGUGCUAAGUGUUAGGGGUUUCCCGCCCCCCUUAGUGCUGCAGCUAACGCAUUAAGCACUCCGCCUGGGGGAGUACGGCCCGCAAGGCUG
Molecule: ribosomal RNA, 375 nt
Filed under: uncultured organism
Description: partial 16S ribosomal RNA
Rfam family: Bacterial small subunit ribosomal RNA
Source: RNAcentral